AUACUAAAUGAUGCAGAACCCAAGAUUAACCAACGUAAUCAUGAACUUAUACAAUUUCAUUCAAGACACCAAAGAACCCUCCCUACUUAACCUUUUAUCAAGAAUGAUAGGAACUAAGAUCACUGAAAAACUGAUAAUUAAAACAAGAAUGGAAAAACACCACAAGGAAUUACUUUAGUAAGUAGAUCCACUCCUUACUCAACAAGAAGGAUGAAGACAUCUCUU
Molecule: long non-coding RNA, 225 nt
Filed under: Carica papaya (papaya)
Lineage: Eukaryota; Viridiplantae; Streptophyta; Magnoliopsida; Brassicales; Caricaceae
Description: long non-coding RNA (CPAP_LNC007595)
Source: RNAcentral